Molecule: long non-coding RNA, 484 nt
Filed under: Camelus dromedarius (Arabian camel)
Lineage: Eukaryota; Metazoa; Chordata; Mammalia; Artiodactyla; Camelidae
Description: lncRNA (ENSCDRG00005008885.1)
Source: RNAcentral
AAGGAAUUAGCGUCCAAUUGAAUUUUAAUCAAUCUUGUGGUUCACUCCCCUUAAUCUGCCCCAGGAAAUACCAGUCUUUCUGCAACAUAGCCUAAUGUAUCCUCAGAAUUCAACUCAAGACUCUUCAAACAACAAUAGAGUGUGGAAUCAUCUCUCCAAUAAGGACUACAAGUUCAAAUGAAAGGAAGGCAGUGUUGAGACUGAUCGGAGCCUUGUGAAAAUGAGACUGCUGUUCUUUUAUGGAUCUUCAAGAAGGAUGCUGCCCCACAAGGAGCCUUCCAGUUGCAACAAGGAUGAAAGAAGGUGGAUGAUUUACAGGUCAAGGGCUACCCGGCAGAUACCGUGGGAUACUCUGCUGUCAACACCAAAGGAUGGCUAUUAAGCUGCUGAGUGUUCUGUAGUUCUACUGAGGACCAUUCCUGGCUCCCAGGUUAAUUUGCUCGAUGACCACAAGAAUUGUUUCACUUCCUGUUUUUCAGUCUCA